GAGUUUGAUCAUGGCUCAGAUUAAACGCUGGCGGCAUGCCUUACACAUGCAAGUCGAACGGCAGCACGGGAGCUUGCUCCUGGUGGCGAGUGGCGAACGGGUGAGUAAUGCAUCGGAACGUAUCCUGGAGUGGGGGAUAACGUAGCGAAAGUUACGCUAAUACCGCAUAUUCUGUGAGCAGGAAAGCGGGGGACCUUCGGGCCUCGCGCUCUUGGAGCGGCCGAUGUCGGAUUAGCUAGUUGGUGAGGUAAAGGCUCACCAAGGCGACGAUCCGUAGCAGGUCUGAGAGGAUGAUCUGCCACACUGGAACUGAGACACGGUCCAGACUCCUACGGGAGGCAGCAGUGGGAAUUUUGGACAAUGGGGGCAACCCUGAUCCAGCCAUGCCGCGUGAGUGAAGAAGGCCUCGG
RNAcentral lists this ribosomal RNA (410 nucleotides) under bacterium enrichment culture clone ALO1_GLFRUDD03GPGE2. RNAcentral's name for it is "bacterial SSU rRNA". It matches the Rfam family "Bacterial small subunit ribosomal RNA", at positions 9 to 420 of the family's 1533-position model. The record is from RNAcentral.